GGGGGAAAAAAACAAGCCGGAAAGAGGGCAGCAGAGGGGUUUGUAGCCCCGGGUUGAAGUGAUUUACAUAAAUGGAAAGAGUUCCCAGCCAGCGGGAAUGGAGAUACACGUUCAAACAUGGCUCUUCAGUACAACCUGUAUCUGCUCAGUGAAUCACAACCGUCAGCACGUCUAGCUUCGGAAUGAAUUGGCUUUUGGUUGAUGAUGUUAAAAUUCCUGUGCGACACUUCACGAGUGCUAACGCCCGACAGCCACAACACUCGACGAAUUGAUUCCUGCCGCAUAUCUUUCUAUUCAGUGAGAGUAUUCGAACGAGCAGCAGUAAAAACGUCAAUCUGAUCGGAUAGUUUUUUUGUUGUUGCGCCUUCGCGUACAAUCCCACCAGCGCCUGCCAACAUACAGGUGAAAGGGAUUUAUUAUCUGCUCUUUCUUUUUUCCACCCCAUCAACCCACCUAGUCAACCUCUCGCCAACCGUUUUCGACCGCCCGCGGAGUAUUCGACCGGCCCGUACUGGCCCAAAAGUUUCCAAACCUUCCAUCGGUAUGCAACCAUCCUGGCCAAAAAGACAGUUUCGAGAUCCCGGCGAAGUUUUCACCGAUUGGUCUAGUUUUGGAGGACGCACAAGGAAAGGAUCAGUGGAAUUUCGUUGUGAUAGAUCGAGUAUUCGAAGGGGCGAUGAUUCAUAGCUCGCUCCAAUGUAAUACUUCCUCAUGGAGGAGAUCUACCGUUCUACGGAAGGAUGACACAGAGGUCUGCCUCGUCUAAUGAAUAUCUAGAACUUCAACUAAGUGAGUCCUACUCAUAAAGACCUGAAGUCGAAGAGCUGUGGUCCACUAACUGCUCUACAUAUCUGUCUCAGUUUGCUCGGUAAGCUUGUCUUCAAGACUCCACUUCAAGACUUUAGAGAUUACUACAAUAAAGCAAGUACAUGGUAGGGUACGAACCCUGAUCUUCUGCCAGAUUUUUUUUUGUUCGUUUCUCCCCGAUAAUAAAAACCUAUAGUUCAUGA
This is a long non-coding RNA of Anopheles stephensi (Asian malaria mosquito), 1010 nucleotides long. RefSeq lists it as uncharacterized. NCBI's taxonomy places the organism in Eukaryota, Metazoa, Arthropoda, Insecta, Diptera, Culicidae. The record is from RefSeq and is a predicted model, not a curated record. The transcript is spliced from 2 exons.